GGCGGACGGGUGAGUAAUGCUUAGGAAUCUGCCUAUUAGUGGGGGACAACAUCUCGAAAGGGAUGCUAAUACCGCAUACGUCCUACGGGAGAAAGCAGGGGACCUUCGGGCCUUGCGCUAAUAGAUGAGCCUAAGUCGGAUUAGCUAGUUGGUGGGGUAAAGGCCUACCAAGGCGACGAUCUGUAGCGGGUCUGAGAGGAUGAUCCGCCACACUGGGACUGAGACACGGCCCAGACUCCUACGGGAGGCAGCAGUGGGGAAUAUUGGACAAUGGGGGGAACCCUGAUCCAGCCAUGCCGCGUGUGUGAAGAAGGCCUUUUGGUUGUAAAGCACUUUAAGCGAGGAGGAGGCUACCGAGAUUAAUACUCUUGGAUAGUGGACGUUACUCGCAGAAUAAGCACCGGCUAACUCUGUGCCAGCAGCCGCGGUAAUACAGAGGGUGCAAGCGUUAAUCGGAUUUACUGGGCGUAAAGCGCGCGUAGGUGGCCAAUUAAGUCAAAUGUGAAAUCCCCGAGCUUAACUUGGGAAUUGCAUUCGAUACUGGUUGGCUAGAGUAUGGGAGAGGAUGGUAGAAUUCCAGGUGUAGCGGUGAAAUGCGUAGAGAUCUGGAGGAAUACCGAUGGCGAAGGCAGCCAUCUGGCCUAAUACUGACACUGAGGUGCGAAAGCAUGGGGAGCAAACAGGAUUAGAUACCCUGGUAGUCCAUGCCGUAAACGAUGUCUACUAGCCGUUGGGGCCUUUGAGGCUUUAGUGGCGCAGCUAACGCGAUAAGUAGACCGCC
Molecule: ribosomal RNA, 781 nt
Filed under: Acinetobacter sp. A1a-65
Lineage: Bacteria; Pseudomonadati; Pseudomonadota; Gammaproteobacteria; Moraxellales; Moraxellaceae
Also listed under: 8 other names
Description: bacterial SSU rRNA
Rfam family: Bacterial small subunit ribosomal RNA
Source: RNAcentral